This 2201-nucleotide long non-coding RNA is filed under the name Homo sapiens (human). RNAcentral's name for it is "HSALNT0391057". The record is from RNAcentral. Lineage: Eukaryota; Metazoa; Chordata; Mammalia; Primates; Hominidae.
CAUGGCAUAAAAUAAUACCAAUCAGUGUUCCCCAUUUUUGGAAAGGCAUGGAGUAGGGUGGCAGUAGAAAAGUGAAGUUUAGAGUUUGUGAUUCCAUCUGAUGUUGCAGGAGGGAUUAUCCAAGAGGAAGUAAAUCUAUGACCAAUUUAGAGAUCUGGCCACAGCGACCUUGAACUUUUCUUCCACUUUGUAUCUGAAAAUCUAUAAGCUGAGACCAGAAAGAUGCAGGCGGCAUCUCCCACCCCUUUAGCUGAUCUUUAUCCACUCUAUUCCUUCUCUAUAGUUACAACUCCACAGGGAUCCCAGUCUUUUACUUUUCCCUUAGCACCAUUCACUAAGGAGAGAUUUGGAGUCUUUCAAGGUAGAAUUCUGAGGGGAACAAUAAUGGCACUGCAUAUUUUCAUUAAGAGGACUCCUCGCCUCAGAAUACCAGAAGUUAUGCUAUAACCAGGACAUAAUCUGAGAGUAAUGCCAUUGUGAAGUCCAUAAAUAUGACAUCUAGGGUAAUGAGGACCUUCUAUGAAGUCACGUAAAAUCAAGGUUGGGCCAGGGCUUAAGCUUCCUGAAAGCCUGGGAGUCCUAGAUUACCGUGACUCAUUCAAAGGUCUUGGGGAAGUGUCAGUGAUGACUGCUGCCAAAAACUGGGUUGGAUUUGUAUGAAGCUUCGGGACAGGGUAAUCCAGCUGAUCCAGUGCGAUGACUUUGACAUGUAAUAGACCAAGGAAUUCAUUUGUGUCAGGGUAUGGAGCCUUCAGCUUGGACUGCCAGAUGUAGAAGAUCCAAUGGAGAAUUCUGAGGCCCAAGGUGAUUUUAGAACUACUACACGGAAGGAGCCUGCCCAGACAUCUGCACUGUACUGUGAUCUGGUGCAGAUUGAGAAUUCUAGCAGUUUGGGAGAAGUUAAAGCCUCUCAACAGGGAACACUGCAUUUAAAGGAUCCUGUAAACUGCAGCACCAGGAAAACCAUAGUCCAAGUCUUCAUUCUUCAGCUUGCAGUCACGUCACCACCAUAUGCUGUACACUAGAGUAUUUAUGGCUUGAAUCACACAUGGAGCCAGUCUUAUCUCAGGCAACCAUGCUGUCUGCAUCAGUAUAAGAUAAAACUGUGCUAAUGACAGGAGGGCAUGUUUAAAUGUACGUUUCCAUGUAUGGGAUAAAAUACUUCGUCAAAUGAAGCUUGGUCAAAUGAAGCUUCAUGCUACUUCUCUGUGAAUGUGGUAUUUAUUUUAUGGGGCAGCAAAGGCAGGGAUUAGCUUCAUUUUUGCAUCUGAUUCUAGGCAGAUAGUGAUGCUAAAAGGUUAAUGCUUAAGUUACUGUCUUUCAGUUACUAUCUAACAGCAGGACAAUGCUCUUAGAGUUUAUGGAAUUAUUAGCUACUUUUUAGUCUGCUUGAAACUGGAAUGCCAUACCUUGCCAGUUAUUUUAGCUCCACUCUGCUCCUACUAAGUAAGGUCAUUUUUGGUACAGUGAUUUGUUAGACAAGACAAGUAAGAUUCAAAUACAAGAUUUGUCACUGUGGGUUUCACUUCUGUCCAUCUGAUGACCAGGCUGCUCUGGCUCUGUGCUUAUAUAUUGGGAAGAAUUUGCUAGGCUCUUGAAGUUAUCCUUAAUGCCAUCUUUCUCUCUGAAGACAAUGGUUUCAUUUUUUAACAAUAUCCUGUGGGGGAAGCCUGACCCAGAGAACUGUUUAAGAUACCCAUAUUCUCCAUCCUGAGGCAGGAAAAGAAUUCUGAAAAGGCUGUAGGGAUUGGAACUCUCAGACUGUGGGACAGAAAAAUUAGCACAGUAACUUCCUUCUCCACUUUUGUGGGUUAACCCAAAACUGUUAUCUGAACUACAAAUUCCUUAAGAUUAGGGAUUGUAUCUUUUUUGUUUUUGUAUCUCUAGUACCCAGUUUAAUGCCUCAGUAAGUGAUGAAUAAACAAAUGAAUGCAUACAUGCACAAACAAAUUAUGUGUCCUCUUUUUGGUCCUCCAUUUCAGCCUUCUGAAGGCUGAGAGAGAAGCUGAUGUUAUAGAGUUCUUAAAGGUUUUCAAACUAAUGGGAGAAAAACUGGGAUAUAAUUUGAAGAGAGAUUUGGGGGAAGUAGCUCCAAGGAAGGUUAGUGUUGGUUUGAAAGUCAUAGCACCAGGAAUGUUAUUAUUGUCACUAAAACAAUUUUAAAAAAUGGAAAGAGUAAUUGCCCUCAGUGAUUUUUUAGA